Mus pahari (shrew mouse) is the source of this 730-nucleotide long non-coding RNA. RefSeq lists it as uncharacterized. The transcript is spliced from 4 exons. Lineage: Eukaryota; Metazoa; Chordata; Mammalia; Rodentia; Muridae. The record is from RefSeq and is a predicted model, not a curated record.
UGUACCCUUUAAAGACUGGGUGACAGCCUAGGGUCCCCUCCAUUUGUGCUCGGUGACAUCACUUCCGGGGCGGAGACCUAAGAAGCGUUACGGUGAUAGACAAACAAACAAAACGAGGCGCCGAAGACUCACGGGGCGACUGGCUGUGAGUAGCCAGACCCAGGACUAGGGCUGCCUGCGUGGCGGCCGAGAACGGCGGGCCUUGGGCUAACAUUCUCUGAAUGGCACCUCCGUCUCCUGCCAGGAAACAUGCCCUCUGCUUCCUGCCUGGAUCUCUCUCACCGCUGUUCCUGCCCCGGGGACACUCACCCGUGCCCUCUUACUCCUCUAGAACCCUCCACUGACCCCUUUGGUCUGGGUUGACAGACGAUGCUCUGCAGUUCACCAGGCAGCGGAGUGGCAUCUGUCAGCUGGCUUUCAGUCUCAGGCUUUGAAACUUGGGGACAGUUUUCUUGCCCUCCUCUCAGAAAGGACUGCUGUUGACACCCUGCUUAUAUCUCCCAGCAAAAUCCUACAAGCAAUAUAAAAAAUUACAAUGGAUUACAUUCUAUUUUUUGUCAAUUGGAUGAUUACAGUAAGUAUUUGUUUAAAAAAAAGCACCAUGUUCCCAAAACCCUUAGAUGAAUAAAUGUUUUACAUGUUACAGUAAAAAAACAAAUUAUUCCCAAGAAUCCACAUCCAUUUGUGUCUAAGCAACGUUAUAGGUUAACAAAGUGUGAGCGGUAUAAGC